CAAGUCGAGCGAGAAAGGGCUUCGGCCCCGGUAAAGCGGCGCACGGGUGAGUAACACGUAGGUAAUCAACCCUCGAGUGGUGGACAACUCUCCGAAAGGAGAGCUAAUACAGCAUGACGUUGCGACCUUCCGAGGUCGUUUCCAAAGCGGGCCUCUUCACGAAAGCUCGCGCUCGGGGAUGAGCCUGCGGCCCAUCAGCUAGUUGGUUGGGGUAACGGCCCACCAAGGCUAAGACGGGUAGCUGGUCUGAGAGGAUGAACAGCCACACUGGAACUGAGACACGGUCCAGACUCCUACGGGAGGCAGCAGUCGGGAAUCUUCCGCAAUGGGCCCAAGCCUGACGGAGCGACGCCGCGUGAGCGAUGAAGGCCUUCGGGUUGUAAAGCUCUGUGGGGAGGGAAGAAUAAGUUCAGGCAAAUACCCUGAAUGAUGACGGUACCUCCUUAGCAAGCACCGGCUAACUCUGUGCCAGCAGCCGCGGUAAGACAGAGGGUGCAAACGUUGUUCGGAUUUACUGGGCGUAAAGCGCGUGUAGGCGGCUUUGCAAGUCGGAUGUGAAAGCCCACGGCUCAACCGUGGAAGUGCAUCCGAAACUGCAUGGCUGGAGUCUCGGAGAGGAAGGUGGAAUGCUUGGUGUAGAGGUGAAAUUCGUAGAUAUCAAGCAGAACACCUGCGGCGAAGGCGGCCUUCUGGACGAUGACUGACGCUGAGACGCGAAAGCGUGGGGAGCAAACAGGAUUAGAUACCCUGGUAGUCCACGCCGUAAACGAUGAGUGCUAGGUGUCACGGGCUUUGACCCUCGUGGUGCCGCAGCUAACGCAAUAAGCACUCCGCCUGGGGA
Molecule: ribosomal RNA, 841 nt
Filed under: uncultured delta proteobacterium
Lineage: Bacteria; Deltaproteobacteria
Description: bacterial SSU rRNA
Rfam family: Bacterial small subunit ribosomal RNA
Source: RNAcentral